UCCACCCUUUAUUCCACAUCACUACAUCAUGCUUAACUUAUAUCUAUAUACAAACAAAACAGUAAUUAACAUGCAUUAAAUAUGUACAUAUCUAUAUACAUAUAUAUAUAUAUAUCUAUAUAUGUAUAGUAUAUAUAUAUGUAUAUAUGGAAUCACUGACUACACUCCCCCAGCAUCAAAUUCCCUUGUAGUACUGUAGAAUCACCAAAUACACAGAAUGCUGUUGCAUAAUCAACAAAUACACAAAACAGCAUGGUCAGAUGGGUAUCCACAGAUCGUAAAGCUAGAAAGAUUACUACAUUGGAAAAGGAUAAUCUGAAACAGAUGGAAAAAUGCUCAACCACGUUGUAGGCUCACAGAAAAAAAACUCCAACAGGUGCAAUCUCCAGAAAAAGAUCCUUCCUCAGUGGCACUCAGCUCUUAAAUGGGGUCUAGGAGAGGUGGAGCCAGGCUACACCCCUUUCAGUCACACAGGUGAAUUGCUUUCACCUGUGCUCCCGCGGCUGACUCAGUGCUCACCUCAGGUGAUCAGUCAGAGGUUCAGGCUGUGACUCAACAGUUCCCAUACACUCCACCCCUUCACAGAGUGAACCAAUGAUUGAGUUAACUAAAGGGUGAGUCUUUCCUACUACAAUUUCCCAUCACAAUGUAUGUUGACACAAUUUAAGACAAGUAGUGAUUGGUGAAAGUUUAUGUUCUUUCAUGGGCCAGUGCUCGAUGAUGUUAUGGGAGGUAUGUAGUCAUGAGGUCCAGGUCCAUUCUGUACUCCAUCAGUCCCAGGCAGACCAUCACUGAGUGUCGCACAUGAUCUGACAGCAACACUGGAACGCUUUGAUGACAUUUAGUUCCUUCCAGUGAUUCUACAGCCUCAAAGACUCACGGGGAGUAAUACAGAUGUUUCAGGGGUACCAGGAGGGGAGGGUUUGCCCUCCAGGGCAAGAUACAGGCCAUAUUUCUAUCCUGGGUCAACACUUUGGCUUGUACUGGGGCAUGCCCCGGCUGCCUGUACCAUUACUUCUUUCCAGAUGUCUGCGGCUGCAGAAUUGUAUCAGGCACCAAAGGGGGUGUCCUGAUCUGCCAUAGGGAUAUGAUGGGGGUUCCUUUAGCAAUGAAGACCAGAGUGUUGACCACAAUAUCCAUAGGCCGUGUACCCAUUACCGGAGGGACUACUGAGCCUCCCAUCUCCAAUAAUCGUCCCCAAGGUGCAAGUAGGCCACACCACUUUGGUCCUACCUGCACCUUCCAAGGCCAUUUUAUUCUAUGGGUACCUGGAUCUAGAUUCUCAGGGGCAGGGAGCAGAAGAUUAUUCUCAUUACCAAUCUGGGGUCAGUUACCAACCUGAUUAUCAGUGCCCGUAAUUUGGAUCUGAAGCGGGGAGGCCCACGUUGUCUGUAGCAUUUUCAGGGCACUGAGUCUGCUGUCUCAAGGUCUUUCAUUCAGGUUCUGCAGGGUUUCAUAGAGUCUUUUUGUCCACCCCUGCAAGGACUAGGAGUCUGUCUUCAGGGGGCAGCCUUAAGAAUACCGUUAUAAUGUUUAAUAAGGCCUGCCCCCAUUGCAUUAUAUGCCAGGUGGGAUCGCCACUCAAUGUUGUUUUCUUCUGCCCAGCAUUGUAUCAUUGCACCAGUAAAAUGGGUCCCUUGGUCACUCUCAAUGACUUGAGGUGUCUCAUAGGCAGACAUCCAGCUUAGUAAGUGCCUUGAUGGUAUAUGCCUGGUUUGCUCUUGGCACUGGAUAGGUCUGCAGUAGUCCACUUGCAGUAUCGACGCAGGUCAGGGCAUAUCUCGCCCCCUCAGACUGAGAGAGGGGCCCAAUGUAAUCAACCUGCCAUCACUGGAGAGGAUUGUGUCCUCUAGCAAGGUGGGCUGUUGUUUUGGGCAAUGACCUUGGUGUCAUCUUAGAGCAAGCGUCGCAGUCUCAGCAUGCUUCGGCAAUAUCAGAUAGCUGUAUGGGCAGCCCCCAUGCUUUAGCAGCUGCCCACAUUGUCUUUUGUCCAGCAUGCCAUAGCUUCUGAUGUAACCAACGGGCAAUGUUCUCAGAUGGUGAAGUCUCAAUCCAUCGAACUCAGGCCAGUGUGUCCGCUUCGUCAUUUCCUCAUGACUGUAGGGGUUGGUGGCCAGAAACAUGGUAAGACAUGUACAAUCCUGUGUUUAACUGCAUUCCAUAUGUCUAACCACAUAUCUUUGCACCAGAUUGGUUGGGCGUGGAUAGUCCAUUCUUAGGUGGCCCACUGUGCAAUCCAAAGAGCGAGCCCUCGGUACAUAGCCCAGCCAUCUGUGCAGAUAUUCAGGAUACUGUCACCGGGUUCCUUAGUUAUAACCAUCCACACGGCUUGCAGUUCUGCCCAUUGGCUGCUCUGACCAUCCCCCUCAUCAAACCAGAUUGUCUCGGGGGAGGGAUGGUAUGCUAACGCUCUCCACUUGCUUGGGUUGCCCUUGGUGGACCCAUCUGUGUACCAGGCACCUUCAGGGAUAGGAUAUUUUCCCUCCUGAACAGGACUCUUCUCUGGUGGAGCGACCAAUGUUUCCUUUGGUGCAUCACUACGAUACGUCACUAGGCCUAGGAUCUUCUGAAGUUCUUCUUUUAAUGGUGAUGUAGACUACUCCUCUGGCUGAGAUAGACAACCCAUCGUGCCACCAUUUGUGCUUGGGCCACCCUUGUCUUAGGAAGGUGGGUCAGAUCUUUCAGCCACCCCUGAAUCGGCUGGGUGGUCUUAACUAUGAUCUCAGCUGUUUGGGUUACUGGCUCUACCGCCUGUAAUGCAGAGUAGGCAGCCAAUAACUGUUUUUCAAUUAUACUGUGUCUUCUUUCUGCUCCAUGCCAGACCUGAGACCAGAAUCCAAUGGGGGUCCGAACAGAACUCUGGCGUUGCCACAGGCCCCAGCCAAAGCCAUCCUGGGUGACAUGAACAUCUAACUCGGCUGGGAGGGUAGGAUCAAAUAUACCCAAUGCCUGGGCUUGUUUAACUGCCAGUUUUGCCUGUUGGAAAGCGUCCUGUUCCAUUCUCCCCCAGUCCCAUAGCUGCCCCUUUUUUGUGAGUCUGUACAGUGGCCUCAGCAGCUGUGCUAAAUGAGAUAAAAAGGAGUGCCAGUACACCAGUAUACCUAAAAACUCCUGCAGCUGCUUUGGUGUUGUAGGGACUGGGAAUGCCUGAACGUUAUCUAUUACAGCACUGGGUAGUACUUUGGUCUUUCCUGACUGAACUACCCCCAGGAAUUUUACAGACAGGCCCAGAUCUUGCACCUUCUGAGGAUUUAUAGCCCAUCCUCUUUCUUACAGAUAGGUAAUGAAUCUACUGCCUCCUCCAAUGAGUCAGAUGUCAACAGGAGAACAUCAAUAUAAUGAUACAAGUUAACAUUAUCAGGUUUUCUCCAAUUAGCCAGAUCACGCGCCACUAGAUCAUAGCAAUAUGUUGGCAAAUGCACGUACCACUGUGGCAGGACUUGAAAGGACCACUGCCUGCCUCCCCAUCUAAAUGCAAACUGAUCUUGCGAUUCUUCAGCAAUUGGAAUACUGAAGAACACAUUUGCUAAAUCUAGGACACAAUGGUAGGUUUUUAUCUCCCUACUCAAUAUGUCCAUUAGGGAGGCAGUAUUGGGUAUGGCUGCAUGAAUAGGCAGCAUGACCUUAUUUCAUUCUCUAUAAUCCACUGUCAUUCUCCAUGUUCCAUCCAACUUCUGCACUGGCUAUAUGGGGGAAUUAUAUGGGCUAUGUGCAGCUCUUAUAAUGCCUACUUUUUCUAAUUCCUGCACCAUUCUUGAUAUUUCAUCUUAACUACCUGGGAGCCUGUACUAUCUUACAUUAAUAAUUCUGGCUCAUGCUGCACAUGGCUUCUCAAUAUUGCCUGUUCCACCUGGACACUAAUGCACCUUUGUUGAAGUCUGAACUCUCCCACAGUCGUCUGGAGCCAGACCCCAUAAAAAAAUCUAUGCCCAGGAUGUAUUCUUGGACCGGGGCAAUAGACAAUUUAUACUCCCGAGGUGAGAUGUCCAACCCCCAGUUUCAACCAUGUUUGGGCGAUUGGAAUGGUGUAUCCCUCAAAACCACCAAUCAUCACUCUAUUGCCAUUGAAUCUAGUCAGAUCUCUGUAGAUUAUUUAUGUUUCUGCUCCUGUGUCAACCAACAUCAUAACUCCCUAAAUAUUCUUCCGGGACCAAAAAAUCGUCAGUUCCAUCUAGGGCCUCCAGUCUCAUCUGGAGGCCAUAGGGGAACUAGCAUCCCUUGUCACGCCAUAAAUUGUGCUAUGGCCAAGUCUUUUGUCUCUGGUGGCUCAGGCAUUGUGGCCCCAGACACCUGAGGAUGCUUCUUUUUCCUACUACAGAUUAUAAAAUCUUCUCAGUUCCAUGCUGUCGUUGGUUAUCUAUCUAUAAAUUUUACCCUAGGUUUUUUAGGGUAAUUUUGAAAUCUUUGAUUGUCCUUCAGCUGUUUCCAAAGCUGGAGGAGGACAUGAUUGGACUGGUGAUCAAUUUUAGUAAAUUGGACCCCAGGCCGGAUUAGGUCAUUAAAUGUUUGCUUUCAGGAAACCCAUAUGGGUCCCGAUUGAGGAGUUUGUACAGCUGGCCUCCUAGUUUUAAUUACUGGCAGGACUUAUGCUUCUUCUAGUGUUCACAUAUUGUGCCCGGUCCGCAGGCGCUCUGUCUCUCCCAGAUCGGCCACUAGUGAUGACCCAGGAAAGACUCCCUGGCAAUGCCGCCAUGCCUUCUGAGAAUACCGGCACUAAUGGCAGUAAAACUGAAGCCUCUGUUUUUAACACGCCUGUGCCAUGCAAGCUUCCAGGUGGUACAGAAGAUGAUGUGGAGAGUGAAAACCCUGGCCCCAGUUCCUCUGCCAAGGAGACUUAAAUGUCUUCUUACAUGGAAAACCUAUAUGAAUAAACACGGUGCAAGUGCCCAGAUUGUGUGCAGAGACUGUGAUGCCUCAGCAAUGAUUUCUGCAGAAGCUUUGGUUAGCAGGACAGCUGUACUGCAUAAAAGAUAGAUUGACAUCUCUGGGUUUUUUUCACUACCGAACAGCAGAUUUCUUCACACACUGGAAAGUGGGGUGUCCCUUGAGAUGAAGUAGGGAUCCAUAGCUGCCUGCAUUCUCCACCAAUAGUUGUCAUGGAGUUAUCCCUAGAUACAAGUCCGUGACAGGGGCACACAGACCCCGGGAAAAAAAAGAAAAAAAGAAAAAAAGAAAAAAAAGGGAGAGAGAGACAAAGGAUCGAAGGAAAAAACAAGAAGGAAGGGAUACUAACGGCUUGCCGCGCGAGCCGGCCCGGGGCUCCGAGAGAGGGGGAAGGGCAGAGAGCUAGCAGAUAGUUUUAACAAAGAGAAAACACAAUGGCAACGAUCUGAGGAGGAACGGUAAUGUACUAAAUUUAACCAAAUCAAACAAAAUGAGAGAGAGAAGAGUACCCAAAGUACGAGUCAAACCACGACAGUGAGAGGCACGUGCUUUUCUCCGCAGCGAGCUGAGACCGCCAGAGGCAGCGAACGGCUGAGAUCCAGUCCGCAGCUCCACCUCACUUCCUCUUCGCGCCAAG
Molecule: long non-coding RNA, 5521 nt
Organism: Gallus gallus (chicken)
Lineage: Eukaryota; Metazoa; Chordata; Aves; Galliformes; Phasianidae
Source: Ensembl